Cucurbita maxima (winter squash) is the source of this 618-nucleotide long non-coding RNA. RefSeq lists it as uncharacterized. Lineage: Eukaryota; Viridiplantae; Streptophyta; Magnoliopsida; Cucurbitales; Cucurbitaceae. The transcript is spliced from 3 exons. The record is from RefSeq and is a predicted model, not a curated record.
AACCUCAAAACCAAACGAACUCGGGGACAAAAAGGACCGUUAAAUACAUACCGCUCUUCGUUUGAUUUCUCAAAACAAUUGACGUAUUUCUUCUGCUCAUUUCCUCCGGCGGAUCAUUACCCUUUGGUCUGCACAUCGUCGUCUCCAAUUUCGCCUACAGAUGGAUUGGCAAGGGCAGAAGCGUGCGGAGCAGAUGAUGCAGAUUAUGUUGCUUGCAUUUGCCGUGGCGGCCUUUUCGACUGGCUAUGUUAUGGGAUCGUUUCGGAUGAUGAUCUUGGUUUACGCCGGCGGUGUGAUUCUCACCACAUUGAUUACUGUUCCGAAUUGGCCUUUCUUUAAUCUCCACCCGCUCAAAUGGUUGGAUCCUGGUGUGGCUGAAAAAUACCCUAAGCCGCAGCAGCCGGAGCCUGCGGUUUUGAAGAAGAAACCAACUAAGAAGUACGUCUGUUUGAUUUGACUUUGUUCUCGUAUUAACACACAGUUUGAACCGUUGGAUUCCUAAUGUCCCCAAAUUCCUGAUACAUACAUUUCUCUUUUUUGGUUUUCCGCUAUUGAUUUUCAGUUGAUUGUUAAAAUAGAUUAAAUCAUCAUAAUUUUAAGUUAAUUGUCUGCUUUUCU